UAAGAUAAUUUUAUUACGAAAAAGAAAAUUAUAAAUUGCUUUCUCUCUCUGUAGAAUAUAUCUACGAGUAGUAAUUUAACAUUAUGGUGUUACAUCGUUGAAUAUUAUAUAAAUCUAGGUGAAAGAUGUGGACGGUCUGAAAUUCAUGAAAGCUGACAUUAAAAGUGGUCUUUAUCUCUCUACCGUUCAUCUUUUCGCAAUGUGUUCUUUACGCUAUUUCUGUGUAUAUAGAAAAUAACGUAGCACAUAUUUGUGAUGCAGCGAAUUUAACAAGAAAAAGGAGUGCUUUUAAUAAAGCACGUUUGCACGUGGUCAUCGGCAAUAAGUAUUCCUGUGCGGUAAGUUCAGGUCGUGUACCCCUGAAGGAAGGCAUUGUUCCAGGGUCGAGUUUCCGCGAAACUGCGUGGGCGGACUAACUGCAUUUCUCGCGCGUGACACACGCGAAAUACUCGAACACAUUGUGCGCAUAGAGUCUCUCUAACUUAGUUCCAACCUUCUUCUGUAUGCUGUUCAAGAGACUGAUCAAAGAGAUGAGAGAGAAACGCAGGAAGAAGACUCUUGGUAGGCUUCCUCGCCCACGUCUCUGCAUUUCUGUGACUUUUUUUUUAUUUUCCCUUCCAGAGGUGAAUAUCUCAUGGAACUCAUUGUUUCUAGGUGUGACUCGAAUUCUUUGGAUUCCCUCUUUCUUCCUACCUUCUCGCCUCGCUGUCCGUGCAAGUCCUAUUUAAAAACACGUUCUGCCUGUAACGUAUUUUUAAACGAAAGUGGACAAUGUUCGCGAAACGGUGUCCGCCGUGACGUUCACUGGGAGACAAAGAACACAAAGGGAGCUUGACCGAAUCUUGGUUCGCCAACCUACUUCGAUCAAAGGUACAACUAGGUUACCUUGCCGGAGGUUGUGCAACACUGGUAGGUUGUAAUCCAAUUGUGAGAGCACACGUGUACCUAUAUUGUACAUGCAUAGGCGGAUAUGGAUACGCAGUCUGCGCUUUGAAAAUCCAGUUUUUGAAAAAAAGAAAAAGGAAAACAACAAGAGAUAAUAUCCACGCGUAUUGAGUGAAGAAAAGUACUAAGGCCGAUAUUUUGAGCCAUAUUUGUCGAAUACAGAGGAGAAAGAAGAAACGACGAUGUUCAUCGAAGUCACAUAAAGUUCGCCAACUUCGUUAACCCGUUUUUCCUACGGACUGUAGAAAAUAACGAUCGGCAUCUGGCAAGGUCGAUGGCGUCAACGACAGCCGGUAGACGUUUGAGAAACGGAAGGCCACUUUCCCUUUCUCUUCGCUGCUCGACAAUACUUUCAGAUACUUUUCGACCUAUGUUUCAAUGAAGUACUAUGAAAGAAUGUAUCAAAGCGUUUCAAGCAAGUAUCGUUUGCAGCAGUUAUCUUUCGCAGCAAGUAAUAAUUUGUUACAAAAAAUAUGACACGCAUACUAGAAAAAGUUGAAACGCUCAAGAGAAGUAUUUCUAACGCGCGUUUUUUUCUUAAAUUAUUUAUUUAAUUAACAAUUGGUGUCCCAGUUUUAAUCGGAAAUUGACAGGACGAUUUAAUUUUGACCUAAAAUCAUGUAUUCCUACCGCUUCAUCUCAAUGUGUUGGCCAUUUCAGGAAAGGAUUACGCAAUUACCCAUAUUAUGUGUAAAUACUUACUCUCACCUCGCCUCGCUUGCCCUCUUGUGUCCCGUAAAGCAUUUCAGCUGUGCGUAUUUGCAAUAAGGUUAAACUCUAGUGACAUUUUGGACGACUUUCACCGAUCGGGCCGACAUGGAAGCCUGCUUUCUUCAUCUUUUUGUCUUUUCGUCCUGGCGCAGAGAGACGACGGCGGUCUUCAACACUUUUCAACUGGACUAGGACAGUGAACAGAUCUUUGGAAUAGAACCACGCUCUUCUCUGUAUGAGAAAACCUGAUUACGUUAAUAUCGACGUACAAUGUAACUGUAUAUAACGCGUUACAGAAAAUACACUUUCAUUGGAACUUUGCCGGAUCCAUUUUACUUUAAAAACGAUAAUCUCGAAUGUUGAAACUAAGCAGUAAGAAGUACGUUGCCUGUAUGUAUGAAAUCAGAGAAGAAAAGGCUCGUGUGUACGAUUUUCGGCCAUCAUCUUCCAGCAUAAGUGAUGUUGACUUGAUAAAUUUUUGGACGAUCCUCCCGAAGCUUUUCCAAACCUCAGAAAGUUUGCACAAAAAUACCCAGUACUUAUAGACGUGAACACUUUUUCCUUUAUUAAAAAUUAACCGAUCGAGAACGACCGAUGAGAAUUUAAAGAAUUCUCGCUACACUAAACAAAGUCAACUCUCUCAAGAGAUAUAAAUAAUUUGGUCAAGAACAAACAGGCUCAUAAAUCCCAUUAAAAACGGCGCAUCGGAACUCAUUUUUUAGAAAAAAAUUGUCACGUACGACAGAAGAGUUUGGCCACCCCUGUCUCAAAAGAUCACCAGACGUACGAUCCACGCGUGUGUGUUGGAUAAUUGUUCGCUUAAAUAAUCGCAUGCAUGCGAGAGUCGACGCCACGUAAGUGCUUGGAACCGACCGCGACGUGGAGAACGACGGAUACCUGUGGAAUAUCUAGGGCGCAGCGCGAAGUGGUUCUCCUUGGGCAACCGAUGCCGCAUUCCGACCUAUGCAUCUGCUGCCAGUUCCUUUUCCCCUUGUUUCUCUCCAUCUUUUCACUGCUUUUCCUUAUUCUUUUCACUUUCGUUCCGUCGCCAGUUGAACCUCGAGAGAUGCUUUGGACACGUAUGUACAAACGUUGCUCCGUACGAUCAAUUGCUCAUCGUCGAAUUUUAACCCUUUGCCCUCGACAAAUUUUCUUUCACGUAUCAUCUACUAGCAGUUUAUUCUUAUUACGAACUUUGGAAAUAAUCCAUUCAAGUGGUACUUAACGCGAAUUUGGUUAAUUAUAUCUUUCUAACAUGUCGAUAUCUUUAAAUUUAAAGCAAUCAUUAACGUGCAUUGCUAGAACAAGUAUAAUAUACAAGAGUUAACGAUACAUACAGUUUCAACAGUUUCAUAGAAAAAUAAUAUCCUUCACCUUUUUUUUUUAAAGUUCUAAACAUUCGUAAGAAGCAAUAAGAAGUCUAGUUUAUGAAUUAUCGAGUGUCAGUUGACUCAGGACUGUCUUCAGAAGUUUCUUCUUUCUGAAAUUCUUUUGUUCUUCUUACGUCGUUGUUAUAGUUUUCACUCUAGGGAUCUGUACAGAUGUUAUACUAAAAUACAUUGCAUCAUACAACACCAAAUGUAUACGUUCAUUAUAAUUAUCAUUAUCAGCAAAUUA
This is a long non-coding RNA of Frieseomelitta varia, 3273 nucleotides long. RefSeq lists it as uncharacterized. NCBI's taxonomy places the organism in Eukaryota, Metazoa, Arthropoda, Insecta, Hymenoptera, Apidae. The transcript is spliced from 7 exons. The record is from RefSeq and is a predicted model, not a curated record.